AACGCUGGGCAGGUAGAGAACAAGUCAGACUGCCUAAAGCACAGGAGUUCCCAUUCCAUUCCUGCUCUUAAAGAGACAGCUCCAGCCACCACCCCACCACUGACAGGAGCUCCCUGGGGUCCAAGACUGAGGUGGUGGGCCAACCACAAGCUCUGGAUGGAGAGUCAGCCAGCAAUGUGGGAAGGGCCCAAGCAAGCACUGUGCAACCAGGUAACCUCAUGCAUGAGCCAAGGUGGAAAACUGGACUAUAAGGACUGCCUUGAUGGUUGGGUAUCCUCAGAGGUUGAGUAUAUGUGACUGGGAUGUGUCUGGAAUAAAAAGUGAGUGGGGAAUUCUAA
Molecule: long non-coding RNA, 338 nt
Organism: Myotis lucifugus (little brown bat)
Lineage: Eukaryota; Metazoa; Chordata; Mammalia; Chiroptera; Vespertilionidae
Exons: 2
Source: RefSeq, a predicted model, not a curated record